RNAcentral lists this transfer RNA (69 nucleotides) under Choroterpes yixingensis. RNAcentral's name for it is "tRNA-Gln". It matches the Rfam family "tRNA". From Rfam's summary of the family: Transfer RNA (tRNA) molecules are approximately 80 nucleotides in length. Their secondary structure includes four short double-helical elements and three loops (D, anti-codon, and T loops). Lineage: Eukaryota; Metazoa; Arthropoda; Insecta; Ephemeroptera; Leptophlebiidae. The record is from RNAcentral.
UAUGUAAAGGUGUAAGAAGCACAUCAGAUUUUGAUUCUGAAGGGGUGGGUUUAAUUCCUACUUACAUAA